UAUUUAAUAAUUUAAUUCAAAAUAAUAAAUUGCAAGUUUAUAAAUAUCUAUUAAGAUUUAAAUAU
Molecule: transfer RNA, 65 nt
Filed under: Philotrypesis pilosa
Lineage: Eukaryota; Metazoa; Arthropoda; Insecta; Hymenoptera; Pteromalidae
Description: tRNA-Cys
Source: RNAcentral